GACGAACGCUGGCGGCGUGCCUAAUACAUGCAAGUAGAACGCUGAAGGAGGAGCUUGCUCUUCUGGAUGAGUUGCGAACGGGUGAGUAACGCGUAGGUAACCUGCCUGGUAGCGGGGGAUAACUAUUGGAAACGAUAGCUAAUACCGCAUAACAGUAGAUGUUGCAUGACAUUUGCUUAAAAGGUGCAAUUGCACCACUACCAGAUGGACCUGCGUUGUAUUAGCUAGUUGGUGGGGUAACGGCUCACCAAGGCGACGAUACAUAGCCGACCUGAGAGGGUGAUCGGCCACACUGGGACUGAGACACGGCCCAGACUCCUACGGGAGGCAGCAGUAGGGAAUCUUCGGCAAUAGACGGAAGUCUGACCGAGCAACGCCGCGUGAGUGAAGAAGGUUUUCGGAUCGUAAAGCUCUGUUGUAAGAGAAGAACGAGUGUGAGAGUGGAAAGUUCACACUGUGACGGUAUCUUACCAGAAAGGGACGACUAACUACGUG
This 495-nucleotide ribosomal RNA is filed under the name uncultured bacterium. RNAcentral's name for it is "partial 16S ribosomal RNA". It matches the Rfam family "Bacterial small subunit ribosomal RNA", at positions 28 to 507 of the family's 1533-position model. The record is from RNAcentral.